UCCGUAGGCGGUGCGGCAAGUCGGAAGUGAAAUCUCUGGGCUUAACCCAGAGGCUGCUUCCGAAACUGCCGUGCUAGAGUGCGAGAGAGGCGAGUGGAAUUGUUCGGGCGUAGCGGUGAAAUGCGUAGAUAUCCGCAGGAACAUCCGAGGCGAAGGCGGCUCGCUGGAUCGCAACUGACGCUGAGGGACGAAAGCUAGGGGAGCAAACAGGAUUAGAUACCCUGGUAGUCCUAGCCCUAAACCAUCAGGACUUGGGGUUUGCCCUGUACGGGGCAAGUCCCGUAGCUAACGCGUUAAGUCCUGCGCCUGGGGAGUACGGUCGCAAGGCUGAA
This 332-nucleotide ribosomal RNA is filed under the name uncultured bacterium. Its description in RNAcentral is "bacterial SSU rRNA". It matches the Rfam family "Bacterial small subunit ribosomal RNA", at positions 568 to 898 of the family's 1533-position model. The record is from RNAcentral.